Long non-coding RNA from Onychomys torridus (southern grasshopper mouse), 2489 nucleotides. RefSeq lists it as uncharacterized. The transcript has 2 exons. NCBI's taxonomy places the organism in Eukaryota, Metazoa, Chordata, Mammalia, Rodentia, Cricetidae. The record is from RefSeq and is a predicted model, not a curated record.
CCUGACACCCUUUCUUUUGCCUUCUCUUCAGAGUGGUGGACAAUGAAGGAACUCUGCAACUGAAGAGAAGCUUCCCCAUUGAGCAGAGCUCACACCCUGUGCGCAGUAUCUUCUGCCCCCUCAUGUCCUUCCGCCAGGGGGCCUGUGUGGUGACAGGCAGUGAGGAUAUGUGUGUUCACUUCUUUGACGUGGAGCGGGCGGCCAAGGCUGCUGUAAACAAGCUGCAGGGCCACAGUGCACCUGUGCUUGAUGUCAGCUUCAACUGUGACGAGAGUCUGCUGGCCUCCAGUGACGCCAGUGGCAUGGUCAUCGUCUGGAGACGGGAGCAAAAGUAGGGUUCUGCCAGCCCUGCGCUGCCCACCGUUCCCUCCUCUCCCUCCAGUCUUGUGUUGUAAAUAAAAUUUCUGUGGUUGUGUUGAGGGGCAACUCCCAGGUCUCCCACGAGGGGGCAAUAGGGAGCACUGAGCCCUCCAGUGAAAGGGAGCUCACUUCCUCAGUUGUGCAGUACUGUGUUCAUCCAUGCAACAGCACUGAGUAUAUCUGCUGUGAUGUGUCACGUAGUUGUGCAGUCAGUAGACAGGAAUGAGAGAGAGCACCUGCUGUGUUGUCAGGAACUGUUCUGAAAAGGACGGGUACUGCUGGGGCCUCAAGCAACAGAAAUUCCCGCCCUGGUACACGAAGUACAGCCAUUCCUUGGAGUAUGAUUUGCUUUAUAAUUUUUCAACUUUUUGACCUUACAGUGCUACAGAACCACACACAUACACCUGGUCUUGUUUUUCUACUUUCUGUAAGGUGUUCAGUGAAUUACAUGAGCUAGUCAACAUUUUGUUAUAAAAUAGACUUUGCAUUAGGUGAGUUUGCCUACCUGUAGAAUAAUGUCACUGUUCUGAGCCCAUUUAAGGUAGGUGGGGCUAAGCUAGGGUGUUUGGUAGGUUAGGUAUAUUAAUGCAUUUUCGACAUACGCUAGUUCAAGUUAAGGCAGAUUGGUUGGGGUCUAACCCUAUUGAAUGGAGAAGCAUCUGUAUAUAAAUAGACUAGGCAAAGAUGGGCGGUGUGGAGACAAAGAGGGAGGAAAGGGAUGAGGUUGCAGGGACGGGAGCGGGGAGCUUCUUUUGGUGAUGUCAUUUGAAGAUCUGAAUGAACUGAGGGGGGUGGUAGAAGAACGUCCUCAACAGAAAGAAAGGUCAGCGCAGAGGCACCGAGACUGGGGUGUGACACAUGACGUUAGGUCUGGAGGGCUUCGUGGGCCAUGCUGAGGAGCUUGCCUUUUCCUGGGUGAGGGAGGUUGGGGUGCAGGAACAGACAGCAAUGGAGAAAUUAGGAGAGGAAUGAAUGGUGAGUUCAGCCCCAAGGGUUUCAUCAGAUUCAAUUGUAAAAGUUCCCAACCUGACAGCUUCUGGCUAGGUGGACCCCACUCUUUUCUAUGCAUUGACUCGUGGCCCCCAACCAGGGAGCAGAAGUGGUGAGCUGAGUUCCUGGAGUUCUAGACUGGCAUGCAGGCAGCCGUGGACUUGGGUUGAGCUACAGCUCCUGCUGUGGGGAGGAAGGAAGAGAAAAUCUGUAAGCUCACCCCUAGCUCCUCCCAUGUCCAUCCAGGGCCCUAAUUUAAGCCUUGACCAGCUCAGAGACCAAAUGCUAAACUAGUUCAUUAUUGGAUAUUGGCAAGGAAAUAAGUUCCAAAAGCAUUGUCAGUGGUUAGAAUCUUGAAGAAAUUUCAGUUUGAAGAAUCACCAGGGGCUCUUACAGCUAAUUCUCCCAGAUCCUUGUGCUGCUGCUACAUUUGCAUCAGUUGGAACCUCAGCUAACAUCUUGGGACUUCAGAGUCACCUACCUGGUAGCACAAUAUUGCUGAGCUGUGGAACUAACAGCAGCUCUUUGAGGGAAGAAGAUACUUCCCUGUUUGUUUAAUCUGUCGUUUAAUAGUAUGAUCACUUGUAGCUAAAGCACUUCUGGCUCCAUCAGACAGAUCUUAGGCAAAUGGUUAUGAAAUAAUGAUAUGAGUGAGCUAGACUGGUCAUGUUGUCAAAAUCGUGUGUGUGCCAACAUUCCUAACCCAGCUUCAGGGUCAGUGAUUACCUGUGAAGACAGACAGAAUAGCUGACGGGAAGGGUACCACACACCAAUUAAAUGCUAAUCUUCAGUGAGGCCCUCCCAAGGAUAACAGUUCAGACCUGUGUGGUAACUCUGCCUCACCAAGUAGAUACAGUUCCAAUCAAGGUCUACAGGUAGCAAGAUAAUUGGGGGAAAUACCAGUUUUCUCUAACUUCCAUUUCUUCACGCUCUCCAUUUUUCUUUAAUGAGUGGUUUCAGGAUGAUUGAUGACUAUUGUUUGCAUGAUUUGGGGGCUUUCCUCCUUGUAAAAUUUUUGAGGUGGCAGAAUCAACAUUCUACUUUAAUUUCAUCUUGGAGACACUUUUGACUCACAACCUACAGGAACCUAAACACUGAGUAAACAAGAAAGAAUAAAAAAUAAUAAUGCUAUUGGUCAA